Molecule: ribosomal RNA, 595 nt
Filed under: uncultured bacterium
Lineage: Bacteria
Description: bacterial SSU rRNA
Rfam family: Bacterial small subunit ribosomal RNA
Source: RNAcentral
CCUACGGGAGGCAGCAGUGAGGAAUUUUCCGCAAUGGGCGAAAGCCUGACGGAGCAAUGCCACGUGGAGGAGGAAGGCCUGUGGGUCGUAAACUCCUUUUCUCAGAGAAGAAGUUCUGACGGUAUCUGAGGAAUAAGCAUCGGCUAACUCUGUGCCAGCAGCCGCGGUAAUACAGGGGAUGCAAGCGUUAUCCGGAAUUAUUGGGCGUAAAGCGUCCUGAGGUGGCUUACCCAGUCGACUGUGAAAGCUCAAGGCUUAACCUUGAAACGGCAGUCGAAACUUGUAAGCUUGAGUACGGUAGGGGCAGAGGGAAUUCCCGGAGGAGAGGUGAAAUUCGUAGAUAUCGGGAGGAAGGCCAAAGGCGAAAGCACUCUGCUGGGCCGAUUACUGACACUGACAGACGAAAGCUAGGGGAGCGAAAGGGAUUAGAUACCCUGUAGUCCUAGCCGUAAACGAUGGAUACUAAGUGUUAGCGCGACUCAAAACGUGCAGUGCUGCAGCUAACGCGGUAAGUAUCCGCCUGGGGAGUAUGCCCGCAGGGUGAAACGUCAAAUGAAUUGACGGCUGAGACCGNGCGAGACGACGACGAGGAGAG